This 254-nucleotide ribosomal RNA is filed under the name uncultured bacterium. RNAcentral's name for it is "partial 16S ribosomal RNA". It matches the Rfam family "Bacterial small subunit ribosomal RNA", at positions 524 to 776 of the family's 1533-position model. The record is from RNAcentral.
UACGAAGGGGGCUAGCGUUGUUCGGAAUCACUGGGCGUAAAGCGCACGUAGGCCGACGGAUAAGUCGGGGGUGAAAUCCCAGGGCUCAACCCUGGAACUGCCUCCGAUACUGUUCGUCUUCGAGUCCGGGAGAGGUGAGCGGAAUUCCGAGUGUAGAGGUGAAAUUCGUAGAUAUUCGGAAGAACACCAGUGGCGAAGGCGGCUCACUGGCCCGGUACUGACGCUGAGGUGCGAAAGCGUGGGGAGCAAACAGG